Molecule: ribosomal RNA, 900 nt
Filed under: Triticum aestivum (bread wheat)
Lineage: Eukaryota; Viridiplantae; Streptophyta; Magnoliopsida; Poales; Poaceae
Description: partial small subunit ribosomal RNA
Source: RNAcentral
CGUCGGGCCAUGCCCCGACCGCGGACGCUUGCGCGCGGAUCCAGUGAGAAGAGCAGGGCUAGUCGUCACCGUGCACCCGCUCUGUCGUUGCCGUGCUCACGAGGACCAAUCGAAGGACGCCGCCACGACGGAUCUGGUCCCCACUCUCCACCAUCAUCGGUGUCCGUGUGUGGACCCCAUCCGUCUUCCUUCGCGAGCGUUGGCCACGGCUGUGCCAUCACUUUGAUGAGCAGUGGAUGUGCGACGGGGGAGCAGGGGAGACGACGCGGCCGAGGAGAAGAUGGGCGGGAUGGAGGAGGACCAGAGCCUGUGCAUCGUCAUUGACAUCGUCGAGGAAGAAGCCAUAUCACGUCUCAUAGGAAUUUUCUCGAUCACGGCAAUUAUUAGCGGAGCAUAGUAUGAUUUCAAAGAGAUGAUCACGACAAUAAUGGCACACAGGGUAAUCAAGGGACGGCACCGCAUCGUCUGCUCUCCCUUGUGGUUUAAAUACCGGAGGAAUGGGAGGAGGCGUCUUGCUCUCCCUGUUCGUUCCCGCUGCUGCCGGCGGCGAGAGCUUCCUGCUCAGAAAGCUUGUGAUGGCCGCAGAGGGUGGCAAGGACCGCCUCGGUGACCUCACUAACAACCUCCUCCGGCAUGUGUUGUCCCUUCUUUCGCCCGAAGAUGCCCUGAAGACUUGUGUGCUAGACACCAGGUGGCGCGAAUUAUGUAGGCGCACCACUAGCCCGCACUCCGUCAGUCUCAAGCGUUGGCUGUAGAAGUUCUCCGCCAACCUGGCGUGUGUGUCUGUGCUGGUCGGUCUCAAGCGUUGGUUGUAGAAGUUCUCUGGCUGUAGAAGUUCUCCGCCAACCUGGCGUGUGUGUCUGUGCUGGUCGGUCUCAAGCGUUGGUUGUAGAAGUUCUC